GUCAAGACAGUCACUAAGGAGACCCAAGCAUUAAUGGAAAAUGAGCCACACGUAGAUGGCGCUGGGCACUGCACUGUGUCUUUAAUCCUCUGGCCACCAGCUGGGCAGCGGUAUGUCCACCACACAGAUAUGCCACAGCACUGUGACCAAUACCAGAGGGAAGUGGCAGGCAUGGCUUUUGGCCAAAGCCCUGUCACCCACGGGGCGUCACGCCCCGCACUCGGAACACUGAGACGAUGAUUUCACUCAAUGACCAAUGCUGCGCCUCCUCACUCCAAAAGGAAUUGAGAUGCCCCACAGAGGCUCCAUAAAGCCAGGUAGAAAACCCAGCACAAUCCCCUAAGAAUCUGUGUGCGGGUGACUGCUGGAGACCUGUGCCAAGUGCCCAGCAGACAAAGUGGCAAGGUCCAUAGUGUCCAUGAGGAAACAAGCGGGAGAGAGGAGGGGCCCUGCCAAGUACUCCAUCAAGUCCCGCCUCCUCCACGGUGUCCUGCCUGAGCUGCAUCACAGGUGACCCCUCCUGCUCGAAGUAAGCACGGCACACACUGCAAAGGACAGAGAGGGGACCCGCUGGCAUGACACAUCCUGAGAAGGACAUUACAGGAGCCAAAGAAGAGAGUGGGCAAGGCCAGUCCUGGGGAGAGCCAGAAGCUGGGUCUGUGGGACCAGAUGCAGGAUGGGUGUUGGGCUGGUCUGAAAAGCAGAGACCGGGGAGGCUGGGAUUUCUGGUCUGGACAACAGGAUGGAGGGCAGUGCUGUCCCAGGGACAGAGGCUCCUGAGAAAGGGAACGAGGUGGUUGGGCCUGGGUAGGAAAGGCCAAGUGAGUAGCAUAGAGAAGCUGGAUACGUGGGCCACAGUGGGCGCUGGCGAGAUGUGUCUGAAAAUGGCCAGGGAGAAAAUACCCGCAGCGUUCCAGGCCACAGAGUCUCUGUAAAUCCUGUCCUCUCUGCUGCGGCAGCUGGAAAUGGCCACAGGUGGUGUGGAGCCCUGCUGCAGCUGGGCCUCACGAGCCCCAUCGACAGAGGGAGCUGGACUUGGCUCUCGGGGCAGAGCGUGCAGACCCUGGUCUGGACCAGCAGGGAGAUGUCUGGAUGGGAGAUGGCAUAUUGCAAAAAGCAACGCAAACCCAGCAGCACCCCGCCAGCAACAAAGCUGAGCGCUUAUCCCCACGUUGCUGAGACAGGUCACGUGGGAAGACGUGCACACUUGAGGCAUCCAAUCAUUGCUGUGCCAGAAGAGCAGGAGCUUCCUAGGCAGAACUUCUAUCUUGGUCUCCUAUUCAAGUCAUGUGGAGUGAGAAGACAGCCUGCAAGGGCCACCCAGAAAGGAGGGGACCCCAACACCAGGCCAAACAAGAGCAGGAUGGGCCUGAGGUAUCUGGGUGAUAAUUAGGAAAGUGCUGGGAUAUUGGUGCCUGAAAGGUGGGUGUGUCGGUCAGCUUUCCAUCUCUGUCACAAACACCUGAGAGCAGCAGCUAAUGAAGAGAAAAGGUUGUUCUUGCUCACAGUGUUGGAGGUUCCAAUCCAUGGCCAAUUGCCUCCUUCUUUGGGCCUGUGUGGAACAGCAAAUCAUGGUAGGAGGGUGUGGCAGAGCUAAGCCUCCCACCUCUUGGCUGGAAAGCAAAAGGGGAAGGAGGAAGGGGCUAGGGUCCCUCUAUCUCCUCCAAGAACAUCAGUGACCUGAAGACCUCCCACGGAACCCCACCUGCUAAAAGUUCCACCACCUCCCUUAACACUUGGGCCUUUGAGAACAUUCAAGAUCCGAACCAUAGCAGCUGGUCAUGGGGGCUGCUCAGUCUGCUCAGCCACAGAGAAGGUCAGGACCUGAUGACUCCCGUAUAGAAGGCCCGCACCAUAGAUUUGCUGCCUUCUAGAGAGGGCGAGCGGCCUUGCCUCUGCCAUGUCUGUGACAGGGCUGAGUCUGUCUGUCCAGGAAGACAGGGAUGCAGAGAAAUACUGGGCAUAUGCCCCUUUUAUGUAAAUCGCAUCGUAGCGUCAAAGUAGACAUGAUUGUCACUGUGACUCAUGUUCUGGGCCUCACCUUAGACUUCAGCCUCUGAUGUGAACAUUGCCCAGGGGCUGGGGCUCACCUGGUGCUAACACCGUGCCCAGGCUCUCCUCCCCGUGGAGGGGCACACCCCUGCAGGAAUGUUCUCUAGCCUCCAAGUUCAAUCACAGCAGACACAGAGGAGGGUGAGCAGCCCAGGGCACCCCCAAGGAAGGAGGGGAGGUGGGAGCCGAGGGCCCCUGUCCUUCCUGCUGGCAAUUUCAGGAAGCACCCUGUGGUUCUCAGCUGGCACUGGAGGGACGGCACAGAACUGCCCGCUGCAGCGACCUCAGUAACAGGUCCACGUUGACAUUGCUUUCUUUCCUGUUCCCUCUCUCCAGCCUCCUGAGGCCACCUGACAAAUAACCAUCCAGGUACAAGUCCCUUUGCAACCCUUUCUCCUUUCAGGGACUCCAGCUGGACACUGUCUCUGGAACAGUGAUGUCCUCUCACUCCAGGCCCCCAGCGUUGGUGCAAUGCUUCCUGAACUGCUGGGCUCCCUCUACGCUCCUGACUCUGGGAAACUCCUAUGUCCCUUCACAAGCUGCAAGUCUCACGGGAGAAGCCACCAUACACUCACCGCCACUCCCCUCUGGAAAACAGGGAACAAACAUGGUCACAAGCCAGACGCAGAUGCUGAUUCCUUAACUCAACUCAAGAUGUCAUUUUGCAUCAGCUGGAGUAAGCUCACUUAUUCUGGGCAACAAACAAUGCAAGAAGCUUUGUGUCCUACGCUCACGAGUUCUACUUCUCUUUUACCCUUGGUGUCCAUAGUGGGCAGAUGAGGGGCUCUGCCCUAUGCGGUCCUCACCCAGUCCAGGCUCACAGAGCAUCCGCUGAUUUAUGGCCAUGAUUGACAGGGGGGACACAGGCCAAUUGCUCACUGGCUCUUAAUGUCCCCACCCAGACAUAACAUCUGUCACCUUUACUUGCAUGUCAUUGACCUAACCAGUCCCUUGGCCACACUUAAAGAAGGUCAGGAAGAGCUAUCUUCCCAGAGGACAGAGCGCUGCAAGUACUUGGUUUAAAACAAAGCCAGCAACUGCCCGCCUCACUGACUACACCUCCAGGCCCCAGAAGAGAGGCUUCUGAACCUCUCCAGGGCACGAGGGACGCUAAGUGGGUAUUAGUUGCACAAUAGGUUUUUUUGCUACCUUAAAGCACAAACUGUCGUUCACAUUUUGGUUACCUCCAGUCCAUCUUUUCUAUCUUAGUAAUAUUGCCUUGCCUUGUGCACAUGUAUUUUUAAAUGUCUAGUAGCAUUUUAGUUACAUAAAUGUGUGCAUCUAUUUUAUUUUUAGUGUUUGAUUAAUUAAAUUAAAUUUGUAUGUCAA
Long non-coding RNA from Marmota monax (woodchuck), 3381 nucleotides. RefSeq lists it as uncharacterized. The transcript has 3 exons. The record is from RefSeq and is a predicted model, not a curated record. Lineage: Eukaryota; Metazoa; Chordata; Mammalia; Rodentia; Sciuridae.